GGAUCGAUGAUGAGUUUCUCAUAUAAACAUUCCUUGGAAAGCUGAACAAAAUGAGUGAAAACUCACAACCGUCGUUUUCAUCGGUACUGAGGUCC
Small nucleolar RNA from Carlito syrichta (Philippine tarsier), 95 nucleotides. Its record names the gene SNORD116. It matches the Rfam family "Small nucleolar RNA SNORD116". From Rfam's summary of the family: HBII-85 is a member of the C/D class of snoRNAs, which contain the C (UGAUGA) and D (CUGA) box motifs. HBII-85 is encoded in a tandemly repeated array with another C/D snoRNA, HBII-52, in the Prader-Willi syndrome (PWS) region of chromosome 15. Unlike most other snoRNAs, HBII-85 is expressed prevalently in the brain (but is absent in PWS patients) and lacks any significant complementarity with ribosomal RNA. Lineage: Eukaryota; Metazoa; Chordata; Mammalia; Primates; Tarsiidae. The record is from Ensembl.